Solea solea (common sole) is the source of this 478-nucleotide long non-coding RNA. RefSeq lists it as uncharacterized. Lineage: Eukaryota; Metazoa; Chordata; Actinopteri; Pleuronectiformes; Soleidae. The record is from RefSeq and is a predicted model, not a curated record. The transcript is spliced from 4 exons.
UUCUGGUCGCUCGCGUCCCACCGGUCUCUUUCGCUGACUGUACCACACCAGAGGAGAGAAGAAACCGUCUACUGCUGCUGCGUUUACCAUGUUAGACGAUGUCCGAGGUUCACUUGUCUCGUUCGACAUGUUCCCUUCAGAUCACACUCCAGCCUUUGGGCACAUGAAGCAACCUGGAGGAGGUGGAUGAUGAUGGUGUCUGAAUUUUGGCAGAAUGUCUUUCAACACCAGAGAGGAAGGGGAUCUACCAUCUUCAUCACUUCUGUUUGAUAAUACAACGCUGAGGUGAAACGGUUGCUGCAUGUGGAACGUGCACCUUUUAAGCAUCUCGGAAGUAGAAAGAAAUACACAGGAAAUGAAAAAUACUCAGCACCUGAUGAAGCCUGGACAAGUGGGACAAAGUUGAUCACUGACAAUUUUACAUGGGACUUUCUGUUUUGGUGCUGUCAAACUGAUACAAUUUUGUUUGUAAAUAAAA